UAGCGAGACCCUAGAGGGCUGAUGCGGAGAAGGGUUUCGUGUGAACAGCCGUUGCACACGAGUCAGUCGAUCCUAAGCUCUAGGAGAAAUCCGGUGUAUGCCGGCCGGUGGUCAAGGGGAGCGAAAGGGAAUCCGGUCCCUAUUCCGGAACCCGGUUGCGGAACCGUCUCACGUCGGGCCCCCGGCUUCGGCCGGUAGCUCGUCGGGGUAACCCAAACAGACCCGGAGAAGCCGUCGGGAGGUCGGGGAAGAGUUGUCUUUUCUGUUUGAGCGUUCGGGUUCCCUGGAAUUGUCUAGCACAGAGAGAGGGAAUGGAGCGCGUAGAGCACCGCAGUUGCGGCGGUGUCCCGACAUGCCCUUCGGACCGUGAA
This 371-nucleotide ribosomal RNA is filed under the name Orthoxiphus sp. Com. RNAcentral describes it as "eukaryotic LSU rRNA". It matches the Rfam family "Eukaryotic large subunit ribosomal RNA", at positions 1473 to 1809 of the family's 3401-position model. The record is from RNAcentral. Lineage: Eukaryota; Metazoa; Arthropoda; Insecta; Orthoptera; Gryllidae.